AUCAAGAGCAUGUCAGGUUCCCUAAUGAGGAAAUCUGCAGAAAAGGACAGGCUUUGCAAUUAGAACUCAACCUUCUGACAACAAAAGAAAUGGAACAAGUCAUUUUUAAAUCAUGACAUUAGUACUAUGAACAUGGAGAGAAAGGUAAUAAUAUCUUAGCUCAACAAAUGCACAAGCAGGAAGUUCACAAGGCAAUACCAGUAAUUACCAACACAGACAGAGACAGAACCAUUGACCAUAGAAAUAUAAUUCACACAUUUAGAGACUACUAUAAGUCCUUAUAUUCUACUCAAUUUAAAGAAUACAAAACACAUUCUAAUGCAUUUUUGAUUCUCUCAGUGCAGAGGAAUUGGAUAAACCUCUGGCACUAUCAGAAUUACUAGACGCUACCUCACUUCAGAGCUGGAAAGCAGCACGCUCUUAUGGCUACCCUGCCAAACUUUAUAAAAAAAAAUCAAAUAAGUUAGCUCCCCUUUUAUUGGCAACAUUUAUAAAAGCCAGAAACAAUAAAAUUUCACCUCAAACUUUUCACUAAGUAUUAAUUACCACCUUUCCUAAGAAAAAUAAGGACUUAUUACAAUGUGCAUCAUGUGGACCAAUCUCAUUGCUGAAUAAUGACGUUAAGAUACUUUUUGAAGUUUCUAGCUGGAAGGAUUGAGAAAGUAAUUCAUUUGGUAAUAUCACAGGGCCAAACCAGAUUUAUUAAAGGCAGACACUUUGCUUCCAGUCUUCAACACCUGUUUAAUGUAAUAUGUUUACCCAUAAAGUCUAACAUCCCCAAGAUCUUAUUAUCUCUGGAUGUAGAAAAAUCUUUUGAUGUGGUUGAAUGGAGCUAUAUUUUGUAUUAACAACAUUUCAGACUACUUCCAACUAGAAUGUGGUACUAGACAAGGAUGCCCCCUGUCACUAUGCUAUUUGCAAUCACCACUGAGCCAUUGGCUGAUAACUUUAAAAAAAUCUUCAGAGAUAAAGGGGAUUAUCAGAGAAAGACAUGAACAGAAAAUAUCACUAUAUGCAGAUGAUAUGGUACUGUAUAUAUCAGACCCACAAAAUUCAGUGCCUGCAGCCUUAACUGUACUAGCAGAAUUUCAAAAGAUAUCUGGACUCAAAAUUAAUUUGAAUAAAAGUGUGCUUUUCCCAGUGAACUCUCCAGCAAACAACGUCAGAUUGUACACCUUCCCUUUUAUUAUCACAGAUCAUUUUAAAUACUUAGGAGUAAACAUCAAAAAUAAAUAUAAAGCUCUUUUUCAACAAAAUUUUGCUAUCUGCAUCGAAAAACUUAAACAAGUCAUGCAUAAAUGGUCUACUCUCCACCUCAGUUUAGCAGGGAGAAUUAACACCGCCAAGAUUAACAUCCUUCCUAAGCUUCUUUUUCUAUUUCAAAGCAUCUCCAUAUAUACUAACAAAUCAUUUUUUAAGAAAUGAUAUUCAAUCAUAACCUCAUUUAUUUGGAAUUCAAAACCUACAUUCAUCCAAAAAGGCAACCCUACAACAACCUCAAGCUGAAGGUGGCAUGGCUCUACCCAACUUCCAAAUUUAUUACUGGACGGCAAAUAUACAAGCUAUAAAAACCUGGACAUUGACACAAAUUGAUGAACACACACAGGCUUGGCCUGCAAUAGAAAUACAAUCCUGCAGAACUUCUUUAUAUUCCUUGCUUUGUGUCCCAGUAAAUACAAGUUAUCAUUAAUAUACAAACAACCCAAUUGUCCUUCCUUCACUCAGAAUACGGAACCAAUGUAGGAAGUAGAAAUCCACAGAGAAGCUUUUAUCUGUGGCACCUCUACACAAUAGCCACCUUUGUCAACCCUCUCAAACAUGCACAGUUUUUAAUGUUUGAAAAAUGUACAGGAUUAAAUCACUUAGAUUAUGUCUUUGCAUCCUACAAACAAUUACAUUCCAAAUUUAGCUUCCCAUCAACAUAAUUUUUCCACUAUCUCCAAAUCAUAAACUUUACUAAACAAAAUCUGCCCAAUUUUCCUCAUGACCCACCUAUUUCUGUUCCAGAAGAAAUAUUGAUCACUCUUGAGGACUCAGACAGCAUCUCUAUAAUAUAUAAAAACAUUUUAAAGUCCCUUCCUUUCAAAGACCCCAGAGUACAGUUGGAAAAGGAUCUUUUACUUAAAACUUCAGAAAAGGAAUGGAAGGCAGUCUUGCACAGAACUCAUUCCAGUUCCAUAUGCGCAAACCAUACAAUUAUCCAAUUUAAAAUCUUUUAUUGAGCACAUCUAUCUCAUUUAAAAUUGUCUCAAAUGUGUUCAGUGCAAGAUCCAACCUGUGAACGUUCCAAUCGUGCUCCAUCCUCAUUGGGCCACAUGUUUUGGGUGUGCAACAAAUUAACAUCAUUCUGUGCCAAAAUUUUAAGUGCCUACCUGACAGCCUUGGUGUCACACUCCCACCUAAUCCAUUAACAGCUGUGUUUGGUGUACUCCCAGAUGGGCUUAAAGUGGAGAAGGACAAACUGUAAUUGCCUUUACUACACACUAUUGGCACAUACACUUGUCUUGCUCAUCUGGAAGAAUCCUAGCCCACCUUUUAAAUCAGUUGGUAACUGAUGUUAUGUACUAUUUGAAAUUGGAAAAAAAAUCAAAUUCUCACUUAGUGGAUCUGUUCAAAACUUUUUUUUAAAAACUAGCAGGAUCUAAUCAAUAACAUUUUAGAAUAAGUGUUUAUAUUGGGAAAUAGGAUUCUCCUCCCUCUUUUCUACUCUUUAAGAUUUACUCUGGCUGUUGACCUUCCUUUCUUUCUCUUGGGUGGGGGUUGAACUGCAUUUAGCUUUGCUAAGUUUUACUUGUUUGUAUGGAAUGUUACUUGCUUUUAAUAAAUUAAAAAAAAGGUGUAUAACUAAAUUCACUCCAAAACUGAGUUAGCAGUAGGGAGUAUGGAAAUGCAACAAUUAGAUCUUUACACAAACACUGCCAUCCAUUUUUCUAAGUUACAGCAUUUGUGCAUUAUGCUCAUGCCUGAACCUUACACUGCCAGAUGUAUGCGGAGAAAAAAAAAACUUAUA
This is a long non-coding RNA of Erpetoichthys calabaricus (reedfish), 3010 nucleotides long. RefSeq lists it as uncharacterized. The record is from RefSeq and is a predicted model, not a curated record. NCBI's taxonomy places the organism in Eukaryota, Metazoa, Chordata, Cladistia, Polypteriformes, Polypteridae. The transcript is spliced from 2 exons.